UACGUAGGGUGCAAGCGUUGUCCGGAAUUAUUGGGCGUAAAGAGCUCGUAGGCGGUCUGUCGCGUCUGCUGUGAAAACUCAGGGCUUAACCCUGAGCUUGCAGUGGGUACGGGCAGACUAGAGUGCGGUAGGGGAGACUGGAAUUCCUGGUGUAGCGGUGAAAUGCGCAGAUAUCAGGAGGAACACCGGUGGCGAAGGCGGGUCUCUGGGCCGUAAGCUGACGC
RNAcentral lists this ribosomal RNA (224 nucleotides) under uncultured bacterium. Its description in RNAcentral is "partial 16S ribosomal RNA". It matches the Rfam family "Bacterial small subunit ribosomal RNA", at positions 524 to 746 of the family's 1533-position model. The record is from RNAcentral.